Molecule: long non-coding RNA, 297 nt
Organism: Fundulus heteroclitus (mummichog)
Lineage: Eukaryota; Metazoa; Chordata; Actinopteri; Cyprinodontiformes; Fundulidae
Exons: 2
Source: RefSeq, a predicted model, not a curated record
CUUUCUCUUGGGCCCUUCAAAAUAAAGGCAUGAGCGGCCCACAACGUGAUGGAGAGAAACGGUUAUGACCCUGACUGACGUUCACAGGAAGGAGCCACCCCAGUGCUUUCGUGCUCAGUCAGCAUGCCCUUCCUGUCUCCUCAGCCCACACCCACUCGCCACAGCUGAGUUGGGUUUUUGACGCAGGUUUCUUCCCUGUAAAACGGAACGGUUCCUCUCCACUGUCGCCAAAGGCUUUCCUCAGGCUGACAGUUCGCUGCAGAACAAAUGGCUCCAUGCAUUUGGCAAGACCCCCAG